RNAcentral lists this ribosomal RNA (467 nucleotides) under uncultured bacterium. RNAcentral's name for it is "partial 16S ribosomal RNA". It matches the Rfam family "Bacterial small subunit ribosomal RNA", at positions 29 to 507 of the family's 1533-position model. The record is from RNAcentral.
ACGAACGCUGGCGGCGUGCUUAACACAUGCAAGUCGAACGGAAAGGCCCUGCUUUUGUGGGGUGCUCGAGUGGCGAACGGGUGAGUAACACGUGAGUAACCUGCCCUUGACUUUGGGAUAACUUCAGGAAACUGGGGCUAAUACCGGAUAGGAGCUCCUGCUGCAUGGUGGGGGUUGGAAAGUUUCGGCGGUUGGGGAUGGACUCGCGGCUUAUCAGCUUGUUGGUGGGGUAGUGGCUUACCAAGGCUUUGACGGGUAGCCGGCCUGAGGGGGUGACCGGCCACAUUGGGACUGAGAUACGGCCCAGACUCCUACGGGAGGCAGCAGUGGGGAAUAUUGCACUAUGGGCGGAAGCCUGAUGCAGCAACGCCGCGUGCGGGAUGACGGCCUUCGGGUUGUAAACCGCUUUCGCCUGUGACGAAGCGUGAGUGACGGUAAUGGGUAAAGAAGCACCGGCUAACUACGUG